Molecule: long non-coding RNA, 1907 nt
Organism: Salvelinus fontinalis (brook trout)
Lineage: Eukaryota; Metazoa; Chordata; Actinopteri; Salmoniformes; Salmonidae
Exons: 3
Source: RefSeq, a predicted model, not a curated record
CAUCUUAAUGCCCUCUCCUUUUUGUACUGAAGCAGGACCCACUGGGCGUGACGCACGGGCGAGUGCGGGUGAGGGUGCAAUAUGUACAUUUACACAGGAUCGAGGUUAGCAAGCAUGUAGAGUCCUUUAGUUUUUUCCAUCUCCGGGAGAAGUGUUAUUUUAAUAGGAUGUUUCCAGAGUGCGUGCGAGUGACGCGCCCGUCCCGGCCGCCUUUCAUCCACAGGUCCAACUUCUGCCACAGGUCCAAAUCUUUUGCUGCUGGGCUACCUACUGCCAGUACAGUCUGGGUUGUUGCCUGACUGGUUCCAGAGAAGAAAAAAGAGCAACAAUAUGAGUUAAUCUUCAGAAAUAUACGGCUGCAGAGAAGAGGUGCACUAUAAACUCCCGUCCAUGAGGGCAGCAGGAUUGUCCCAGAUCCCAUGCUCCAUCCAACCUUUUCUUUCACUCUCUCUCACUUUCCAGGUCCUGUCUUCCCUGGUUUGGUCUUUCACUGUCUGCACUCCCUCCCUCUCCCUCUCUGUUUCUGUCUCCAAUCUGCACAGUGGCUAGGCUACUCUAGCUGCAGGCUAUUUUCUUUGGUGGACUUUAGAAAUAUGCAAAUGCAGCAGUUGACAACUGCAGAGAGAAGAAGAAAAGAGAAACAACUCUGCAUCUAUGUUCCUUGAGCUGUCAGCUCUCAAAGACAUAUCAUUUACUUGUUCCUUUCUCUGUACAUCCCUCUAUCAAAGGAGUGGUGCAAGACUUACCGAUAGAAGAAGUGAGAGGGAGAGAAAAGAUCAGGCUCAAAGGAUAGAAGGAAAUUAUAUGUCAAUCGUCCUCCAUUGCUCAGUUGGUUAUUUCUACUCUCCCUCCUUUUCUCCCUCUCCCUCUCCCUCUCCCUCUCCCUCUCCCUCUCUCUCUCAAUGCCCCUCACACACACACUAUUGUAAAUCCUAAGAGACUGCAGGAUUCUCUUUCUCUCUCUCUCUCUCUCUCUCUCUCUCUCUCUCUCUCUCUCUCUCUCUCUCUCUCUCUCUCUCUCUCUCUCUCUCUCUCUUGCUCUCUCGCUCUCUCGCUCUCUCUCGCUCUCUCGCUCUCUCUCUCUCUCUCAAUGCCCCCCCACACACUAUUGUAAAUCCUAAGAGACUGCAGUCCCUUUCAGAGGCUUGGUUGGUUUUCUCUAUUAGUGCGACCUCCUUGGCUGGACGGGGAUGGCCCCUACUCUUUGUCCCCUUGUUAGAGCAAACCUUUAGAGAGGUGUCUGUGUGUGUUGAGAGAAAAAUAAAAGUCUCUCUCUUUCCCACAGAGCUCUUCUACCCUUACAAGCGGCCCCUCAUGACGUAAUGUUUGUGGAGAUCAUCAGCUCGUUCAUACACACAGUUUUAGUGUACAUAGACAGUGAUGUCACAGUGAUGUCACAGAGUAGUCAAAGUUGGGGGUAAGGAAAGGGGUGUGUUCAAUCCAAUGGCUAUAUACAUUAAUGGAUAAAGACAUCGAUCACAUGACACCAUUCAUUCCUAUGUGAAGACUCAAUAGCGCAUUGAAGCCAAAUGAAGUCAGUUAAGAUGUAAUCUCAUGGAGACAUAACAUGCUCAGUUUGAGUGCUGCCCCCUCUCAUUGACUAACUCAAAUUGAAGGCCGACCAGGGUACUGCAGGCUGCCAUUAGCAACUAAAUUAACCUUAUUUGUGUUAGAUGAAAAACAUAUUGGUUCAAGGACAUACAUCUGGUGUAUUAGAAGCAAUUAUUGGUACUAUGAUAGUCUUAAAAUGUUUAUAUUUUAAUGAAGAUUGACAGUUUUCCAUUUUUUCCAUGCCUUGAACCACUGUGGCUUCAAUGAGAGGUGUAUGAUCAGUGUAUUCAGUCUCUCUCUCUCUGUCUCUCUGUCUCUCUGUCUCUCUCUCUCUCUUCCUCUGUCUCUCUUUUUCC